RNAcentral lists this ribosomal RNA (252 nucleotides) under uncultured bacterium. RNAcentral describes it as "partial 16S ribosomal RNA". It matches the Rfam family "Bacterial small subunit ribosomal RNA", at positions 524 to 776 of the family's 1533-position model. The record is from RNAcentral.
UACGUAGGGGGCUAGCGUUAUCCGGAAUUACUGGGCGUAAAGGGUGCGUAGGUGGUUUCUUAAGUCAGAGGUGAAAGGCUACGGCUCAACCGUAGUAAGCCUUUGAAACUGGUGGUCUUGAGUGGAUGAGAAGUACGCGGAAUGCGUGGUGUAGCGGUGAAAUGCAUAGAUAUCACGCAGAACUCCGAUUGCGAAGGCAGCGUACCGGCAUCCAACUGACGCUGAGGCACGAAAGCGUGGGGAUCAAACAGG